AAUUGAAAACAGCACAAAAGCUAUGAAAAUGAAUACUGGAAAAAGUAUUACAAAAAACGAUUGUGAAUUAUUUGGAGAAACAAAAAGAAUCCCAUUUGUCGUUAAAGGUGAACAAAUCAGCAAAAACGCAGAAUUAAAAAGUAAGAACUAAACAUUUAACUGCUUUCCACUAACGACACAGACAUACCAGUAGGAAGAGAGCAUAAAUCAGCAGUUGACGAAACAUGUUGAGCAACAGUCCAAAAGACAUGACUGGGCUUUGGUUUUGUAACGCCAACAAGCCCUUGUUGCAGGCGGACUAAGAAAAUAUUUAAUUGUAAUGGAGAGGAAGAAAGAGAGACGUAACGUAAAAUUGGUGGAAAUUGAAACUAAAACCAACUGCAAUGCAUUUCAUAAAAUCAACACAAUCAAAACUAAAACAAACACAAUUUCAAAUUUAAAUCCCCACUAGCAUAAGACACUUGCAAUGAAGAAUCAAGAGUCAAGAAUCAACCAAAACUUAACACUCACUUCUUCUGGCGACGACCACGUUUAGUCCCCCAGCAUUCGAGUGGCCAAAUUGGGCACCCGCAUCAGUUGCAAAAUAGCAGCACAACACACCCAUGAGUUUGGAAUGCCGGAGAAGAGGACGAGAACGAAGAUCACCACUGAGCUCUAUUACGAGGAGAAACAAUUAAAGCAAAAACAUGUGAAAGAAUUAAGGCACAUACAGACCACUUCCCGCCGAGCGAAUCUUCGGAUUCUUCUUGGUUGGUGGAGCUCUGGUGAAGUCACGGCGGAGGAUAAAGAGCCCAAAUUUCAAUUGCGGCAACCUGCUCACGGCGCAAAUUGGUGAAGUUGUUUUUGUUACAGAUACGUGCACAACAAUAAAGAAGAAGAAACCUUAGCUGAGGAAAACAUAAGAUGAGUUUGAUUUGGUUAUUUUCAAUACCACAACUUUAGUCUAAAAUUAAUAACCAUGUGUAAUUAGUAAUGUAUACUCUCUGCAGGCUGAACACAGCCGCCUGUGGGACAAUGUUUGCGAUUUGCACAAAACAUACAAAUGGCUAAAAAAAAGGCUUCAGACAGAACCAACAACAGUCGAAUGCAUUUUACUGAAUUUUUUCGUGAAGAAUACAUAAUGAAAUAAUUUACGACUCCUGUCAUGUAACAGGGCACGGAGCACAUAGAAAGAUAAGGAAAAUUCAAAAAACUUCUAUAAAUUAUAAGGCAAACUAAAGUUCUGAAUAUGAAAGCAUGUACCUCUAAGGUGUGAAACGACGUCGUUUAACGGGGAGCAGAAUAAAAGAAAAGCAAAAAUGAAGCAAGCAGGACACGGUCAAGCUGCUUUGAAAAUAAACCGAAAAGAAAAAAAUAGAAGCGUCUGAUUGGACGGAGGAAAAGAAACGACGCAGUUUCAUCAUUAAAUGGGCAAAAAAAAAAAAAAGAAAAGAAAUUGCGUAAAACAAAAACAGCCGAUCCCCAUAUAUAUAUGUAAAUUGCCUUUUCUUUUGGCCCAUUUAAUACCUAAACUACGUCGUUUGGUUCCCUCCCACCAAUCAUCUUCUCACGUUAUUUUCUUUUUUAUUUAUUUCUGGAGCAGCUCGACCGUGACACGCUUGCUUGCUUUUUCCUUUUCUUUUAAUCUGUUUUAUGCAGAACGGCGUCGUUUGAACGCCUGAAAUUCAAAUGUUAUUUUUAUUUUCUUUUCUUUCUUUUGUUUUUUGGCCGCCUACAAUUGUUGACGCCGCCGGAAUUUCCUCACCCAGGCCGUCAUGUCUGCAAUCAUCACGUAAAAGAAAAGCAAAAAUGAAGCAAGCAGGACACGGUCAAGCUGCUUUGAAAAUAAACCGAAAAGAAAAAAAUAGAAGCGUCUGAUUGGACGGAGGAAAAGAAACGACGCAGUUUCAUCAUUAAAUGGGCAAAAAAAAAAAAAAA
Molecule: long non-coding RNA, 1917 nt
Filed under: Erythranthe guttata (spotted monkey flower)
Lineage: Eukaryota; Viridiplantae; Streptophyta; Magnoliopsida; Lamiales; Phrymaceae
Description: long non-coding RNA (EGUT_LNC001525)
Source: RNAcentral